GUGCUCGCUUCGGAAGCACAUAUACUAAAAUUGGAACGAUACAGAGAUUAUCAUGGCCCAUGUGCGAGGGUGACGCGCAAAUUCGUGAAGCAUUCAGUAUUUUU
Panthera leo (lion) is the source of this 104-nucleotide small nuclear RNA. Lineage: Eukaryota; Metazoa; Chordata; Mammalia; Carnivora; Felidae. The record is from Ensembl.